This 292-nucleotide ribosomal RNA is filed under the name uncultured bacterium. RNAcentral's name for it is "partial 16S ribosomal RNA". It matches the Rfam family "Bacterial small subunit ribosomal RNA", at positions 335 to 619 of the family's 1533-position model. The record is from RNAcentral.
GUUCCUACGGGACGCAGCAGUGGGGAAUAUUGCGCAAUGGACGAAAGUCUGACGCAGCGACGCCGCGUGAGGGAUGAAGGUUUUCGGAUCGUAAACCUCUGUCAGGAGGGAAGAAAGCGCAUGGCGCCAAUCAGCCAUGCGUUGACGGUACCUCCAAAGGAAGCGCCGGCUAACUCCGUGCCAGCAGCCGCGGUAAUACGGAGGGCGCGAGCGUUAAUCGGAAUUACUGGGCGUAAAGGGCGUGUAGGCGGGGACGCAAGUCAGAUGUGAAAACCACGGGCUCAACCUGUGG